RNAcentral lists this unclassified non-coding RNA (6293 nucleotides) under Hevea brasiliensis (rubber tree). The record is from RNAcentral. Lineage: Eukaryota; Viridiplantae; Streptophyta; Magnoliopsida; Malpighiales; Euphorbiaceae.
AAAACCUAAAUAUAACAGAUAAAAAUGAAAUUUAUAACAUAUUAAUAGUUAUUUAGUAUAGAUUAUUUUGCAAUGUACCUUGGGUCGCCCGGACUCUCGCGGGUCAUCUUAGCCAUCUAUAGCUGGAACCUGGAGAGAUCCUUGAACCCAAGGUCUUGUUCUACUUCUAUGGGCCUAGGUGGUACAACUUCCCCCAAUGCAAAUCUCACUAAACAACAAAUACCUCCCAUAAUUUGAACUGAAAAGAUUCCCGCCGAAGUCACCGUACAGAACAAGGGCUUACUAAUUCCCAUUUUUUAACACCUAAUCCAUCAACCAUGGACCCUGAUGCAGGAUAAAGUAGUAAAGGUAGAGGACCCACAAAUCUAAUAUCAAAAGCACAAGCAAAACAACCCAACUGAAAACCAAAGAUAUGCUAAAAUGACUGCACUAUUGGGUUAAAUUUAUUAUAAUGGAAAAAGGGAUGACAAAGGGCUCCAAAUGAGAACUAAAUGAAACGCAUAAUCAACAAAACUUUUCAAGAGACCUAUAAUUGACUUUAUGAAGAAAAGCAUGACAUUUGCAACUGUUAGUUCUAUUGGACUCACUAUUAAGCGUUCAUUUCCUAAACCACUGCCCUUCUUUCACUAGAAAUUUGUAUUAUUAAUUUGUUUUUCCACUGUUCCAAUAGUCCUACUAGUCAAAAUGCCAAGAAAUUACUCAUUAGAGAACACCCCAAUCACAGUGAGAUGUCCUACCCUCCCAAAAGAGAGAAAACCGAAUUAGGCAAACAAAUGCCUACAUUGGCAUUAACCAACCUGCAACAAUGAAAUUUAACUAUGACUAAACCAUGGUCCCACUGCACCAUUCACAUGUCCAUUGCCGUGGAUUCCCACACCAUUUGGGAUCAGUGAAGGAGGUAAUCCAACAGCCAUUGGAGGUGGCGCAGCAGGGUACAACCCAUGAUUGUGAGGUACAGCGUGGGGGCUCACAAGAGGACUGGCAGCAGGACUUCCCUUGCGUUGUUGGAGGGCAUGGAUCUGCCUGAGUCCUUCCUCAUGAAUACGUGAUAUUGUCUCCAACUCCUUCAUUGACAGAGCUUCCAACCCAGCGCCAUAAAGAGGAGCAUGUCGUGACAUUUCUUCUUGAAGUGAAGCCUCAAGUGUGCGAAUGUAUUGCUGGCAGGCCUGCAAUUUUGAUUCCAUCCCAUCAAUAUAUGCUUCACACCGAGCAACCUGUUCUUCUUUUUCCCUCUUUUCUCCUUCUGUUUGUCCAACUGUUUGAGUCAAUCUCCGAACUUCAUCCUCCAAUGACUGACGGAUUUCCUCCCUGGUCACAUUCUCUGUGGCAUACCGCUUCAACUCUUCAUCAAAUCUUUUCCACGCAGCUUCAGCACUCUUUAACCUUUCGGCAAGAGUAUUUUUCUCCUUUACCACUCUCUUCAAUUCAUCCCGUUUCCGGGACUUCAACUGAGAGAGCUGUGUUUCAGCAUCAUGAAGACGAUCCUGAAGAACUUUCUUCUCAGCUGUAAGUUUGGUAAUUUCUUCAUCCCGCUCUGAGCGUAUCCAAUCAAGCUGACUUUCUACUUCUUGUAUUCGUUCAGAAAGUUCCUUCUUUUCCCGAGCAAAGCGAUCCAUCUCAGCCCUCAUUUCAGACUUGAGUCGAUUGUUAAUGGACUCUGAUUCACUCAAUUUUUGUGAUAGAAUAGUUUUUUCCCGAACAAUAUUAGAAAUUUCUGUCUUCCUCUCUUCACGCGUGCGAAUAAUUUCAUCCUCACUGGCACAUAACUGAUGCCAAAGAGCUGCCCGAUCAACAUUUGCAAGUUCAGCACCCUCCCGCAUCAUGCUUAGAACAGGUUUAACAAUUUCUUGCUCCUCACAAACUAAAAAAACCAAUAUAUCCAAGUCGAAAUCUACAUCACGACUAUUAUCUGUAGUACUGGUGGCACGAUCAACAAGUCUCUUUAGCAUCCUCACUCUGUAUGACUCAUCAGCAUACCAUUUAAACAAUAAUGUGUAAAGCAUCUUCACAAAUCCCUUCACUCUGGGGUCCCUUGAAAGGGCCAACGUCUCAGCAAGGCCAAGAACAACAUUAAAAUCAUCCCUUUGGAUUCUCAGAUGUUCACUGGCUUCUCCCUCUAUUACAACAUCUGCAUGCUGAAAAUUUUCAGCAACAAAUCUGGCAUUGUAAUUCAAUCUCUGAGUGAGGCGCCUUUCCAAAACCAUUGCCACAGAUUGUGCCAUAAUUGCCCCCCGAGCUACAGCUCUCUCAAAUGUUUGAGAAGCUUCAACAGCAAGACAAGGUAUAGAUAACAUCUCAAUCAAGACAUAAAUGUCAGCAAAAUGGCAACUAGCAUGGAAAGGCUGCUCAUCCACCACAUGAAACCUUUCAGGAAUGGAUCCAUUUUCACCAAACAAGAAAAGACCGCAAGGCAAUGCUGAGCUGUCAUCCCCAAAGUCAUCAUCACAUUCAAUAUCUCUAAGUAUGGUUUCAGCAACAUCUCCCCAACUAUUUACAGUUUUACUCAAAAAAUCCAAGACACAGGGACGCACCUCAGCACCCAAUUUUUUUAACCUAACACGAACAGACCUGACAGCUUCAGGAAGAUGUUGGCACUGGGAUGCAGCUUUAAAUAUAAAAUCUAUGGUUGCAGCAAGAGGCUCAUCAUUUGAAUCAGCUAAAAGCUCAAAAGAUUGAAAUAAAAUGCGUUCCCACACAUCACUACCACAUUCCAGUUGACUAAGAGCACCAAAAACCUGUUAAAAAAAAUUAUCAUAAUCUUGCAAUAAAAAGUGUUGUGAUAGACAAAAUGAGAAAAAUAUUUGUGCAUACUAUCAUCAAAAUCAAAAUAGAUGGUGCAAAAUAUGCCUUAUUAGUAUUUAGUGGCUUUUUCCAUGUUUCACUGCCAACACACCACAAAGAAGCAAAUUGACCAUAGAAAACAGAAAGCCAAAACACUUCUUGAAAGAAUAUCUUACAGGUAUCCGCAAAGCAGGUUCUGCAUCAGGCUUUUGAAGUCUUUCAAGAAGUGCGCAAGCUGCCAGUGGAUGCUCUGAAUGCUCUACCAACUUGGGGACUAAAGCUACAAGGUCAGGCUGCAAAUGUUUUGGAGCUUUAUCCAAUACAAGAGCAAUCUUUUGUGCAGAUUGAGGUCUUCGUCUUGGCUCAGGACAGCAUUGUGGAACGGCUCCAUCAAGGGCUCUCAGUGAGUUUACAAUCAAUCCUAAGAGCUCCUCAGAUUGUUCUGGCCACUUGGUCUUAGAGCAAAGGGAAGCAUUUUCCAAAGAUGCUCCAGCUGUUGUUACUGGUGGAUAAAUAGGCUGUCCAGGAAGAGCUUUUCCAGGCAUAUCAAUACCAUUUCCAUCAGAGCUUUGCACAGCAGAUGCACUGGUAGUAUCAUCUACACCAGACUCCAAUCUCUCAUAUACAGGAAAUGGAGCAGAUUCUGUUGCUCCACUUUCCCUAUCAGAUUCCAAUGGACUGGCAGAACCACUGCCAUCAACUGAAGGCUUUGAGUUCACAUCAGACAAAUAAUCAUUGGAACUUCCUUCUGAUGGUUGACAACAUUCAACCAUUAUGUCCAAAAGUAAAUCUAUAAUUGCUUGCUGCAAAACUUUAACUCCCAUCAACAGAUUCAUCAGGCUGGGAGAAGAUUCAUCAGCUUUUGCUGCCUUCUUUCCAUCAUUGGUACUAGAAAGCUUGGUUGGAAGAAGCAAACGCUUUACUUUCGCAGGAUCAUCUAGAUAGACACGUAAUCCAGUCAAAAAACCAGCAAUUGCACCAGCAUCCAUUAGAAGCUUUUCCCUUAAGGUAACCUGUGGCUGUGAAGGAUUAUCUCCAUAUGUCAAGUGAAAGCCAGCUCUAGAAAGAAGGUUUCUAAAGAUAUCUUCUUCAUCUCCGCUUACUCCUUCACUGUCUUCGGAAUCAAUGAGUUCAUCAGGAUCAGUUGUUAAUGCAUCCUGAUCAUCCUCAGAGGCCAAAACCUCUAGAUCUGAAAACUCAAACCAAGGACAGCAAUCCAAUAUUUCACAAACAAAAACAACAGUGUCACGCACAAGGAACCCUGCAUCUCCUUCCAACAUAUCGGACACCUUCAUAAAUUGCAGAACAGAAUUAUUCCAUGUCUUUGUACAAAUAGAAGACUCCUUCCACACAGUCUUGGCUGGAUUCUUUUGGUUCACCACAGCCAUCCUAUAUCUGACCCAAAAAUUUUUAUCUAGAUCACUACCAACUGACUGGUCACUCUCUAAAUAUAUACAUAUGGUGUCGAAAGAUUCAUAGACACCAAUCCGAAGCUCACAUCCACCAGCUUGAAAGAACUUGCUGAAGAUUUUUCGGGUUUCCAUUAUUUCCUUGAAAGACAAGAAGUUUUCCACCUUCCACGUGAAUGAACUUUUUUUCCCAACCCCAUCAAUCUGGGAACCAGUAACAAUUGCCUCAAUAUCUUGAUCUGUUAAAUCCUGCAUUAUUGAUGUCUCUUUCAAAAUGAGAACCUCUGCAGAGAAUACAACAGUAUCCUGAACAAGAAACCCAGAAUCUUGAUCAAAAAGGCUAGUAAGAGUCACGAAUUCACGCCAACCCCAAUCUUUUGCAGCUUUGGAAUAACGAUUCUGAGAUUCUUUGGUUACAGAUUUCUCCUCCAUCCUCUGGUUCAAAACUGACAAACGAUGGCUCACAAAACAACUCCAAUCACUGGAAGUAUUCCGUGAAUCUGUAACUUCAAGAAACACUGAAAGGUGACAUGGUGGCUGAGACUGCCCUCGGGGAUAAACAAUGAGACGACAAUCUCUAUUCCCAAUCUGAAACCUCCUGCUCUUGAUGCAAAGACCUGUAAUCUUCCUCUUCUUCAAUAGAUCCUUCAACCUUGUAAAAUUCUCAAUCCUCCAAGUAAAUUUCCCCAUGUGCCCAUCAGACUUCCUUGCCCCACUCCCGCUCCUCCCUCCAAUUAACCCCCCAUUCUUCGAGAAGCUACUGAACUCCUUAAUUACAUGAAAUGAAGUACUGAAUACUGCAGUAUCAUCCACCAAAAAUCCUGAGUCAGGCCCAACAAAAUCAGACAUUUUCAUAUAAUCAUUCCAGCCCAAACUUGUAUUAUCCCCAGUCUUAUUAUCUGCAGCAAACCGCCCAUACGAGUCUCUAUGCAUAUGAUUGGACCCUGGUUUUUGGUUCAAGACCGACAUUCUAAACAAACACCAACAACUCCUAUCAGACACAACUGUCUUCUCCGUGUCCUUACUCUCCAAACACAUGGACAAAUAAUCUUGCCCAUUAACUGAGCUCUGGUACACACUGAUUCUCAGAUUACACUCGCCGGCUGGAAACACCGGGCUCAUUAUCUUCUGUGUCUUAAUCAUUUCCUUAAACAAACUAAAAUUAUGCACUUUCCAAGUAAAUUUACCGCUUAACACAUCAGAUACAGGACCCGCAACCACCGACGAUGAUAUUAUUGAGGAAGAAACAGAUUGCAAGUCAUUAUUAUCGCGCAUAAAACUAAGGGAUUCAUUAAGGAUUAAAAUGUCGGCGGUUAUAAGAACGGAAUCAUUGUUGAACAAAUAACCUAAUUUGGAAUCAAACACAGUAGACGAAGGGGUGAAAUCACACCAACCGUGAGAUUUUUUCUUGCUGGAGAAUCGGUGCCACGAAUCCCGAUGAAUCGUUUUAGAAUCGUCGGUUAGGUUGACGAUAGCUAAACGGUAGCUGGCGAAGCAGUCCCAUUUGGAAGAAGCGGUGCCCCGAGGGUCCAUGAUUUGGAGAUAGAUAGAGAUGUAUCCUGGCAAAGCUUGUGAGUCUCCUUUAGGGUAAAUUAACAGGCGACAAUCAUAGCCGCCAACCUCAAAGUACUUGCUCCAAAUUGCCCUAGCUUUAAUACGAGGGAAGUUGUGAACCGUCCAUCGGCAAACGGCGGAAUACUCUCCUCGACGAUCGACGGUCACGGUUUCCUGCGCCCAACCGCUCCCAUCCCUCGUGGACCCCACGGCCAAGUCCUCCGCCGGGAUUGACGACGACGCCGACGACGACGAUGAAGUGGCGGGGGGUAACUGGUCGGUAAGAGCGGACGCCGUCGUCGCCACCGCCGUGGCGGAGGAAGUUUGUGGUGGUGAGGAUGGGACCGCCUCCGAUAAAGUGUGCUUCAUUGCUUGGUUCGUUGGGGUUUUCUUUCCCUCCGCUUCUGUUUCGAUCAAAUAUAAAAAGAAUAAGAAGAAGACAGAGGUUGAUAUGUGGCUAGAGAGGGCAGAGGACUACAGGAGGAGGCUUUGGACAACCAGCGCGCAUUCUAGUUAACCUGCGCUUCUUUUUCCCUUAUUAGUUUUUUU